CGGCGUGCCUAACACAUGCAAGUCAACUUGACUGAAGGAGCAAUCUGACAGUAGAGUGGCGCAAGGGUGCGUAACGCGUAAGUAACUUGCCCAAGGUAAGGAAUAACGUCGAGAAAUCGGCGCUAAUACCUCAUAAUGCAGCGGAUCCGCAUGGAUAUGUUGUUAAAGGUUUACCGCCUUGGGAUAGGCUUGCGUCUGAUUAGCUAGUUGGUGUGGUAACGGCACACCAAGGCUACGAUCAGUAACUGGUCUGAGAGGAUGAUCAGUCACACUGGAACUGAGACACGGUCCAGACUCCUACGGGAGGCAGCAGUGAGGAAGAUUGGGCAAUGCUCGAAAGAGUGACCCAGCAACGCCGCGUGGAGGAUGAAGGUAUUCUAUAUCGUAAACUCCUGUGAGAGCAGACGAAAGACAGAUUAUUAAUCUGGAUGACUGUAUGCUCAGAGGAAGCCCCGGCUAACUACGUG
Molecule: ribosomal RNA, 467 nt
Filed under: uncultured bacterium
Lineage: Bacteria
Description: bacterial SSU rRNA
Rfam family: Bacterial small subunit ribosomal RNA
Source: RNAcentral